This 600-nucleotide ribosomal RNA is filed under the name uncultured bacterium. RNAcentral's name for it is "bacterial SSU rRNA". It matches the Rfam family "Bacterial small subunit ribosomal RNA", at positions 508 to 1107 of the family's 1533-position model. The record is from RNAcentral.
CCAGCCGCCGCGGUAAUACGGAGGGUGCAAGCGUUAAUCGGAAUUACUGGGCGUAAAGCGCACGCAGGCGGUUUGUUAAGUCAGAUGUGAAAUCCCCGGGCUCAACCUGGGAACUGCAUCUGAUACUGGCAAGCUUGAGUCUCGUAGAGGGGGGUAGAAUUCCAGGUGUAGCGGUGAAAUGCGUAGAGAUCUGGAGGAAUACCGGUGGCGAAGGCGGCCCCCUGGACGAAGACUGACGCUCAGGUGCGAAAGCGUGGGGAGCAAACAGGAUUAGAUACCCUGGUAGUCCACGCCGUAAACGAUGUCGACUUGGAGGUUGUGCCCUUGAGGCGUGGCUUCCGGAGCUAACGCGUUAAGUCGACCGCCUGGGGAGUACGGCCGCAAGGUUAAAACUCAAAUGAAUUGACGGGGGCCCGCACAAGCGGUGGAGCAUGUGGUUUAAUUCGAUGCAACGCGAAGAACCUUACCUGGUCUUGACAUCCACGGAAGUUUUCAGAGAUGAGAAUGUGCCUUCGGGAACCGUGAGACAGGUGCUGCAUGGCUGUCGUCAGCUCGUGUUGUGAAAUGUUGGGUUAAGUCCCGCAACGAGCGCAACCCUUA